Molecule: ribosomal RNA, 443 nt
Filed under: uncultured bacterium
Lineage: Bacteria
Description: bacterial SSU rRNA
Rfam family: Bacterial small subunit ribosomal RNA
Source: RNAcentral
AACGCGAAGAACCUUACCUGGGCUUGAACUACUCGUGGUAGGUCUUUGGAAACAGAGGCCGACCCGCAAGGGAGCGAGCAGAGGUGCUGCAUGGUUGUCGUCAGCUCGUGUCGUGAGAUGUUGGGUUAAGUCCCGCAACGAGCGCAACCCCUACUCGAUGUUGCUACUCUCGCAAGAGAGGCACUCUUCGAGAACUGCCUUCGAUAAGAAGGAGGAAGGUGGGGACGACGUCAAAUCCUCAUGGCCCUUAUGUCCAGGGCUACACACGUGCUACAAUGGCCGGUACAACGGGAAGCAAUACCGUAAGGUGGAGCCAAACCCUGAAAGCCGGCCCCAGUUCAGAUUGUGGGCUGCAACUCGCCCACAUGAAGGCGGAAUCGCUAGUAAUCGCGAAUCAGCAGGUCGCGGUGAAUACGUUCCCGGGCCUUGUACACACCGCACGA